UACGAAGGGUGCAAUCGUUGCUCGGAAUCAUUGGGCGUAAAGGGCUCGUAGGCGGCCAACUAAGUCAGACGUGAAAUCCCUCGGCUUAACCGGGGAACUGCGUCUGAUACUGGAUGGCUUGAAUCCGGGAGAGGGAUGCGGAAUUCCAGGUGUAGCGGUGAAAUGCGUAGAUAUCUGGAGGAACACCGGUGGCGAAGGCGGCAUCCUGGACCGGCAUUGACGCUGAGGAGCGAAAGCCAGGGGAGCAAACGGG
This 253-nucleotide ribosomal RNA is filed under the name uncultured bacterium. RNAcentral's name for it is "partial 16S ribosomal RNA". It matches the Rfam family "Bacterial small subunit ribosomal RNA", at positions 524 to 776 of the family's 1533-position model. The record is from RNAcentral.